UACAGAGGUCCCGAGCGUUGUUCGGAUUCAUUGGGCGUAAAGGGUGCGUAGGUGGCGCCGUAAGUGGGGUGUGAAAUCCCGGGGCUUAACCCCGGGACUGCAUUCCAUACUGCGGUGCUUGAGGACUGGAGAGGAGACUGGAAUUUACGGUGUAGCAGUGAAAUGCGUAGAGAUCGUAAGGAAGACCAGUGGCGAAGGCGGGUCUCUGGACAGUUCCUGACACUGAGGCACGAAGGCCGGGGGAGCAAACGGG
RNAcentral lists this ribosomal RNA (253 nucleotides) under uncultured bacterium. RNAcentral's name for it is "partial 16S ribosomal RNA". It matches the Rfam family "Bacterial small subunit ribosomal RNA", at positions 524 to 776 of the family's 1533-position model. The record is from RNAcentral.